GUGCCAGCAGCCGCGGUAACACGGACCGCACGAACGUUAUUCGGUAUCACUGGGCUUAAAGGGUGCGUAGGCGGCUUUGCAAGUUGGGUGUGAAAGCCCUCGGCUCAACCGAGGAAUUGCGCUCAAUACUGCCGAGCUCGAGAGAGACAGAGGUAAGCGGAACUAAUGGUGGAGCGGUGAAAUGCGUUGAUAUCAUUAGGAACACCGGUGGCGAAGGCGGCUUACUGGGUCUUUUCUGACGCUGAGGCACGAAAGCCAGGGGAGCGAACGGGAUUAGAAACCCUCGUAGUCC
This 292-nucleotide ribosomal RNA is filed under the name uncultured bacterium. RNAcentral describes it as "partial 16S ribosomal RNA". It matches the Rfam family "Bacterial small subunit ribosomal RNA", at positions 505 to 796 of the family's 1533-position model. The record is from RNAcentral.